This 229-nucleotide ribosomal RNA is filed under the name uncultured bacterium. RNAcentral describes it as "partial 16S ribosomal RNA". It matches the Rfam family "Bacterial small subunit ribosomal RNA", at positions 104 to 334 of the family's 1533-position model. The record is from RNAcentral.
CGGGGUGAGUAAUGCUUGGGAAUCUAGCUUAUGGAGGGGGAUAACUACGGGAAACUGUAGCUAAUACCGCGUAGUAUCGGAAGAUGAAAGUGUGGGACCUUCGGGCCACAUGCCAUAGGAUGAGCCCAAGUGGGAUUGGGUAGUUGGUGAGGUAAAGGCUCACCAAGCCGACGAUCUCUAGCUGGUCUGAGAGGAUGACCAGCCACACUGGGACUGAGACACGGCCCAG